Long non-coding RNA from Octopus bimaculoides (California two-spot octopus), 1300 nucleotides. NCBI's taxonomy places the organism in Eukaryota, Metazoa, Mollusca, Cephalopoda, Octopoda, Octopodidae. The record is from RefSeq and is a predicted model, not a curated record.
UUUAUGUUAUAAUAUAAGAGAUCUAAAUCAGAGAUGUAUAACAAUUUACAAACACUUCACAAAUAUACUUAACCAAUAUGUUGGUAAAAACAUGACGUAGAUGAAAGUUGGGCAAAAAGGGUAUCAAAUAUUACAAGUAGAAGGAAUGUGCAGAAGAGGAGGACUGUAGAAGUCACAGGAAAAAAUGGCGAAGCCUAACUUCAGGAUGUUGUUACCACACCAUAAUGGAAAAGCAAAUGUACAAUAAUAGGCUAAUUACAAGUUUUACUGGACAACAAUGAAGAUGAAAACUAUAGAUUUUUCACAGAACCCUGGACUUGGGAACCAUUUUGAGAUUUGCUGUUUAUCAACCCUGCUGCUCCCACACCAAGGCAUCCCGGCUACCGGUGUCCAGAGAUGAGAUGUUUAUUCAGACGAAAUAAAUUAUCAUUGUUAUUUGUUCAGAGAGAUCUUGUCCUCACUUUUUACUUCCAUGAACUAUGUAUGGAAUUGUGACGCCCCCAGCAAGUGCAAAUCACAUUUUCCUACAGAUACGAGGAGUUUUCAUCAGGGUGACUCAAACGAAUAGAUCAUUAAAAUGGAAUAUCAAGUGGACAGAGCACCCAUGACUUCAGGAAACAUUUUUUCACACUCAGAAUUACUGAAGCAUGGAAUAAACUGCCCACAUCAGUUGUUAGCUGUUGAGACACUACAUUCUUCAAAACUUCCAUGCUUCCCAAACUUUGCCACCUGAUGUGCUCCAGCUUUUUUUCUUUCUUUUUUCCUUAAGCAUCCAACUUCCUGUGCAUUAUUCUAUGUACUUGUGGUUGUCUUUUCUGAUGAGUUGUAGUGCACCUAAGCACUGCAUGCAAUAAGUUAAUUAUUAUUGUUAUUAGUUCUUUGCACCUAGAUUGCUGUUCAUACUUGGUCAUAUUGUGUUGAAUGACAAAUGUAUAUGUAGUAGCAAAGAAAAUGUUGCUGAUACAAUGAAAUAAGCUGCUUGUUGAAAAAGUCUUGACAGACCAGAACACAGUGUGAAGCCCUCAUAUUUUUGAACUGUUUUAGCGAAAGGGUUUUUAUUCUUUUACUUGUUUCAGUCAUUUGAUUAUGGCCAUGCUGGAGCACUUAAAGGGUUUUAGUAGGAGAAAUCGACCCAAGGACCUAUUCUUUGUAAGCCUAAUACUUAUUUUAUCAGUCUAUUUUGCCAAACCACUAAGUUACAGGGAUGUAAACAUACUAACAGCGGUUGUCAAGCAAUAGUGGGUGGACAAACACGGAUGUAAAGACACCCACACAUAAAUAUAUACACGAAUAUAUACAU